Long non-coding RNA from Brassica rapa (field mustard), 152 nucleotides. RefSeq lists it as uncharacterized. Lineage: Eukaryota; Viridiplantae; Streptophyta; Magnoliopsida; Brassicales; Brassicaceae. The record is from RefSeq and is a predicted model, not a curated record.
UUCUGAGAGAACAAUGUAGAUACUUAGGGUCUGACUGGUUCAAACGCAGCGGUUGCGGUUGUGAGAGUUUGUGGAUACGGGGGGUUGCGGUUUCUAGCGGUUUUAAGAGAUUUGUACGACUCGUACUGCGGUUAAAAAUUGGUGCGUUUGCG